This 395-nucleotide ribosomal RNA is filed under the name uncultured bacterium. RNAcentral's name for it is "bacterial SSU rRNA". It matches the Rfam family "Bacterial small subunit ribosomal RNA", at positions 30 to 417 of the family's 1533-position model. The record is from RNAcentral.
AUUGAACGCUGGCGGCAUGCCUUACACAUGCAAGUCGAACGGCAGCAUGGAGAGCUUGCUCUCUGAUGGCGAGUGGCGAACGGGUGAGUAAAGCAUCGGAACGUACCGUGUAAUGGGGGAUAACGUAGCGAAAGUUACGCUAAUACCGCAUACGACCUGAGGGUGAAAGCAGGGGAUCGCAAGACCUUGCGUUAUACGAGCGGCCGAUGUCAGAUUAGCUAGUUGGUGAGGUAAAGGCUCACCAAGGCGACGAUCUGUAGCGGGUCUGAGAGGAUGAUCCGCCACACUGGGACUGAGACACGGCCCAGACUCCUACGGGAGGCAGCAGUGGGGAAUUUUGACAAUAGGGGCGGAACCCUACGAUCACGCCACUGUCGCGUGAGUGAAGAAGGACG